Molecule: non-coding RNA, 220 nt
Organism: Schizosaccharomyces pombe (fission yeast)
Lineage: Eukaryota; Fungi; Ascomycota; Schizosaccharomycetes; Schizosaccharomycetales; Schizosaccharomycetaceae
Source: the annotation of a GenBank genome assembly
UUUUUGUAGUAUAAAUAUUCAAAAAUUCUUCACUAGAUGUCUACGGCCAUACCUAGGCGAAAACACCAGUUCCCGUCCGAUCACUGCAGUUAAGCGUCUGAGGGCCUCGUUAGUACUAUGGUUGGAGACAACAUGGGAAUCCGGGGUUUUGUAGGUUCCUUCUUUAUUAUUGCUGUUUGGUUUUUACCUUCUCUUUUGGAGCAUAUUUUGAGUACUGAAU